GACGAACGCUGGCGGCGUGCUUAACACAUGCAAGUCGAACGGAAAGGCCCUGCUUUUGUGGGGUGCUCGAGUGGCGAACGGGUGAGUAACACGUGAGUAACCUACCCUUGACUUUGGGAUAACUUCAGGAAACUGGGGCUAAUACCGGAUAGGAGCUCCUGCUGCAUGGUGGGGGUUGGAAAGUUUCGGCGGUUGGGGAUGGACUCGCGGCUUAUCAGCUUGUUGGUGGGGUAGUGGCUUACCAAGGCUUUGACGGGUAGCCGGCCUGAGAGGGUGACAGGCCACAUUGGGACUGAGAUACGGCCCAGACUCCUACGGGAGGCAGCAGUGGGGAAUAUUGCACAAUGGGCGGAAGCCUGAUGCAGCAACGCCGCGUGCGGGAUGACGGCCUUCGGGUUGUAAACCGCUUUCGCCUGUGACGAAGCGUGAGUGACGGUAAUGGGUAAAGAAGCACCGGCUAACUACGUG
This 468-nucleotide ribosomal RNA is filed under the name uncultured bacterium. Its description in RNAcentral is "partial 16S ribosomal RNA". It matches the Rfam family "Bacterial small subunit ribosomal RNA", at positions 28 to 507 of the family's 1533-position model. The record is from RNAcentral.